Molecule: ribosomal RNA, 235 nt
Filed under: uncultured Candidatus Saccharibacteria bacterium
Lineage: Bacteria; Candidatus Saccharimonadota
Description: partial 16S ribosomal RNA
Rfam family: Bacterial small subunit ribosomal RNA
Source: RNAcentral
UAAGCGAAUAGUGAAAUCUGGUGGCUCAACCAUCAACACAUUGUUCGAACUGCCGGUCUCGAGAAUGGUAGAGGUAGCUGGAAUUUCUUGUGUAGGAGUGAAAUCCGUAGAUAUAAGAAGGAACACCAAUGGCGUAGGCAGGUUACUGGACCAUUUCUGACACUGAGGCACGAAAGCGUGGGGAGCGAACGGGAUUAGAUACCCCGGUAGUCCACGCCGUAAACGAUGGAUACUA